GGCGAACGCUGGCGGCGUGCUUAACACAUGCAAGUCGAACGGAAAGGCCCUGCUUUUGUGGGGUGCUCGAGUGGCGAACGGGUGAGUAACACGUGAGUAACCUGCCCUUGACUUUGGGAUAACUUCAGGAAACUGGGGCUAAUACCGGAUAGGAGCUCCUGCUGCAUGGUGGGGGUUGGAAAGUUUCGGCGGUUGGGGAUGGACUCGCGGCUUAUCAGCUUGUUGGUGGGGUAGUGGCUUACCAAGGCUUUGACGGGUAGCCGGCCUGAGAGGGUGACCGGCCACAUCGGGACUGAGAUACGGCCCAGACUCCUACGGGAGGCAGCAGUGGGGAAUAUUGCACAAUGGGCGGAAGCCUGAUGCAGCAACGCCGCGUGCGGGAUGACGGCCUUCGGGUUGUAAACCGCUUUCGCCUGUGACGAAGCGUGAGUGACGGUAAUGGGUAAAGAAGCACCGGCUAACUACGUG
This 468-nucleotide ribosomal RNA is filed under the name uncultured bacterium. Its description in RNAcentral is "partial 16S ribosomal RNA". It matches the Rfam family "Bacterial small subunit ribosomal RNA", at positions 28 to 507 of the family's 1533-position model. The record is from RNAcentral.